Molecule: ribosomal RNA, 569 nt
Filed under: Dendropsophus ebraccatus (hourglass treefrog)
Lineage: Eukaryota; Metazoa; Chordata; Amphibia; Anura; Hylidae
Description: partial 16S ribosomal RNA
Rfam family: Bacterial large subunit ribosomal RNA
Source: RNAcentral
CGCCUCUUGAAUAUAUAUAAGAGGUCCAGCCUGCCCAGUGACUAAAUUCAACGGCCGCGGUAUCCUAACCGUGCGAAGGUAGCGUAAUCACUUGUUCUUUAAAUGAGGACUAGUAUGAAUGGCACCACGAGGGUUAUACUGUCUCCUUUUUCUAAUCAAUGAAACUGAUCUCCCCGUGAAGAAGCGGGGAUAAAACUAUUAGACGAGAAGACCCUAUGGAGCUUCAAACAACAUAGCAAUAGCUUAUUUAUUUAUAUAAUUUCAGAAUACCUAUACUUAUCUUAGCCUUUUGACUAUUAGUUUUGGGUUGGGGUGACCACGGAGCAAAACCUAACCUCCAUGUUGGAUAGAUCUUCUCUUGAGCCAAAAGCCACAACUUUAAGCACCAAUAAACUGACAUAACUUGACCCAAUAUUUUGAGCAACGAACCAAGUUACCCUAGGGAUAACAGCGCAAUCCACUUCAAGAGCCCCUAUCGACAAGUGGGUUUACGACCUCGAUGUUGGAUCAGGGUAUCCCAGUGGUGCAGCCGCUACUAAAGGUUCGUUUGUUCAACGAUUAAAACCCUA